CGCGCGCGAUCCUUCCGCCGCCCGCCCCACACAGGAAGUGCCGCGCCGGCUCCCGCCGCCGCAGCGGCAGCUGAGCGGGGCCGCCCGCGGGAAGGGGGAGCCGCCGGGCACCGCCGGCCCGCACGGGCAGCGCCGGCCCGCCCGCCCCGGCCCGCAGGCACCCGCGGGCACGGACACAGAGGGUCAGGGCGCAGCGCGGCCCGUCCCGGCGCUGCCCCGAGCGCCUUCCCGUCCGCCUCCACGCAGCCCCCGCACACCGGCACCGACGUGCCCCGGGCACCAGGAUAAGCCUGACAGUCCCCACUGACGCAGGAACAAGUUUUCUCCUUGGCGAGUCCCUACGUUCAGUAACAAUUCGCCAGACAGCCUCAGUCCUCCUCUCCUGCAAUCCACAAUCCACCUCGUCUCCUGAAUAGCAGCAGGGCUGAUUCCAAGGGAACUUUAGGGUUGUGUGCUCUCCCAUCUGAAGAACACCUGCUUCAGUGACACCACAGCAUUCCCUGCCAGGCCUCUGGAGUGCUGCAGCUGGACAGACACCAGUCAGGAGAACACACCCUCCACAUGUGCCUGUCCAUUCCCUGUGCCGAUCACUCCCAGGGUAAAACUUCAGAGCUGCAUGCAAAGAGCAGCUACCCCGAGAUAAGCAAAGCAUGUCCAACGGGGAGCUAUGCAUGGAGAUUACACGCAGGAAUUCCUUCAUUGACACCACACGCACCUGAAUAGGCCCAUAUUGUUAAGCCAAGGAUCAAGCAAACACCUGCCUAAAGAGAAUUCCUUCCUUCCACGUACACCACAGCUCCAUUAAAAGCAGGUGAAGGGCUGCAACCUGACAAUACAGAACCUCUUCCCCUCUCAAGUUCUAGUAGUCCUAGGACCUAGAUCACAAGCAACAAUUCAGAAGCAUUUUUCCCCACCACAGAAAUCACAAAAUAGUAUCCAGCAUAAAUGACCUCCAGCUGGUAAAUUCAGUGCUUCAAACUUUUGACAAAUCAUACUCCUAACACUACAAUGCCCAAGGCUUUUUAGGAUACAUUUUAAUGACUGUAUUUAUAUAUAAUAUUUAUAACGCACAAACAAAAAUUCAGGCGUUUUGUAGACUUCACUCAUCCAUUCCUGGCUGUAAGGAAAUAAAUUUGUUCAUCACCAUCAGAUAAGCAAGACCUCCAAGCAACAUCAUUCAUUCUCACAUUAAAGACCUAUCUAAGGGUAAGUCUGUGCUAAAGUUUUGCCAGCCAGAGCUCUUCCCAACCAGAAGCAUGGACAAAAAAGGCAAGUAUCCAGCUGUGAUGGCAAAAAGCUCUCAUGCAAAUCCAGCUUUGCCAAAAGCAGAGUGCUCCUGUCAGCUUUUGUUAUUCAGAGAGGUGCAGCACCAGUGCUAGCAAGAAUUCCUUCCGUCAGCAUAUUUCCACUAGGGGACUCUGCUGUAUCCUCCAGCAGAAAUUUUCCUAGUGGAGACAAGCCCAAGGACAAGGAAAGUCAUUUUAAGUAGGCGCACACUUAAAUGUGCAAUAAAACUUAAUAGUCCUUCAUUAAAACAUCCUCAAAUUGAAGUGGAAACCUCACCCAGUGUAGUUUAGCAACACCGUAAGGUUCAGCUUAAAUACAGAGUACUGCAAUAACCACGUACUCCUGUCACUUUGUCCCAUGUACCUACUGUUGCUGAAAGUUGUAAUUUACCCAUACUUCAAAGCCAUUUAGCCCACAGCAGUAAAAUACAGUUUAGAAGUUUGCCUGUUUAGAUCCAGGUCAAAACGUGCACUGAGACACUAAAUACCCUUGAAGAUCCAGACCUGUGUCAAUAGGAGUUCACACUUCCAUACUUUGGAAAAGGUACCUUCAUAGUUUUUUCCUUUAUUGAUUGCUAUGUAAUUCAGUGAGCCUUGUUUACUGAUUGCAACUUUUAGUCAUAAACUGAAGUGUUUGACUCAUAUCCAAUGAAUUUUUGCCUGGGAUACGUGGACUCCUUGAAUAAGUGCAUUCAAGCAAUGUGCACUAUGUAACUUUUGACAAACAUCAUGUGUCCAAAAUUAAAGGAAAAAAUGAGCAUAAACCAUCAAGCUCUUGGUUUAAUAGCAGUUUUCUAGGCAGCAUUUAUUUACUACUGCAAGCACAGAUUUAGCACAGUGUUUGCCAGCUCACAAGAAAUGGACUUGAACAGCUGCACUCAGUAUAUUCUGAGUCUUUGCUCUCUCUGAUCUCACAUAGAGAGAAUAUCACUGGAUGCCUGAGGGGUUCCAAUCUCUUGAAAAGAGUCCAAGCCUGGGCACUUUCAAGAUUAAUAUGUAAAAAACUACAACAAAUCUAUGUAGUGAUCAUUUUGAUCUGUGCACACCUUAUAUAGUAUUACAUAUAUAGACAUAUAUGUCUUUAAGGAGGAAUGCAACUUUCUCUGGAAGUUCUGCAGUUUCAUCUGUUUAUAUGAUUUUAGUAUUUCAUGCUGAAUGCUAAUUGAUUUGUCAUGCUAAUAAAAUCUUAUUAUUUCAGGGAAAAAAGAGAGUCAACAGGGGAAAAAGUAAACAUGCACUUAACUUUGUAACCUAUUUUUAAGCCUCCUUUCUAGGCAAAAGGCUAACAAAGAGGGCUACAAAGUCUACUCAGUGGGUGGCCCAAUGAAGCAAGACAUAUUUACUGUAAUGGAACAGGGCCACAGGAAAUUGCAGAUGUACUUAUGUUUCUCUGGCAUGAAAAAAGCAGAAAAAAAAUAUAGAUUAACAGAUCCCCAACAGCAUCAGUCUUUGUCAGACAGAAAUAUAUUUAUUAACCUAUUUUUUGUUGGUUUGUUUGUUUUACUGUUAGAGAAUACAAAGAUUCAGCUGCAUUGUAAUUUUUUUAAACAAGCUCAGCUGUCAAGAUAGCCAGGUACCCCUACAUGCUCAUCACAUCUACAUUUACCAAGUGCCAGACAAAAAAAAAAAAAACAAAAUGUUUAAUAUGGACAACUUUGUUCACAUUAAAGGAAAUGUGUCACUUCUUUGCAAUAUACACAUUUAAACCUCAUCCUGAUUGUUUUGAAAAAGUGAAAGACAGCUGAAGAAAAGCAGCUGGAUGUGAUUAAAUGCAUCCAAGACAGCAGAUAUAAAUUCAGAAUACAAAGAACUGGUAGGUUCCAGCAGAUUUGCAGAAGUGGACUGGAAUAAGAUCAUCAAUUAUCUUAAGCAUCUCUUUGAACAGUCCUCAAGACUAGUAGAGCAUUCAGUGGCUAUGGAGGAAUUGUCAAUCUCCACUCCCAUAGUCGCCUAUGGGAAGCUGCCUUUCCCACAGUUCUCACAAAUAUGAUGAAAAUAUUCCCUGAUAAUAGCCUGUAGUUUCUCUUGGAAAAAUACUUCACAAGUAUUGUAACUUGAAAUGCUAAAAGUGCAACCUUCCAAUGGCACCUUUGUCCUCCACUAACAGCAAAUGAUUAACCAGAAAGGAAAACCUGUGUGCAUUUAAUGACUUUUAGCCACAGAGGAUGUAGCUGUAUUCUAGUAAGACCUACCCUGGGAAAAGGCAAUUAUUAUAAAGCAGUUGCUUAUUCUUA
This is a long non-coding RNA of Pseudopipra pipra, 3520 nucleotides long. RefSeq lists it as uncharacterized. The record is from RefSeq and is a predicted model, not a curated record. NCBI's taxonomy places the organism in Eukaryota, Metazoa, Chordata, Aves, Passeriformes, Pipridae. The transcript is spliced from 2 exons.